CGCAUCUGUGCAUGCAGCAUAUCAAUAAGCGGAGGAAAAGAAACUAACAAGGAUUCCCCUAGUAACGGCGAGUGAAGCGGGAAGAGCUCAAAUUUGAAAUCUUAAAGGGUUUCCCUUUACGAAUUGUAGUUUAAAGAAGUGUUUUCUGUUGAGGUUUUGGUAAAAGUUCUUUGGAAUAGGACAUCAUAGAGGGUGAGAAUCCCGUAUUUGACCUUUACUUUCAACUUUGUGAUACACUUUCAAAGAGUCGGAUUGUUUGGGAAUGCAGUCCAAAAUGGGUGGUAAAUUUCAUCUAAAGCUAAAUAUUGGCGAGAGACCGAUAGCGAACAAGUACCGUGAGGGAAAGAUGAAAAGAACUUUGAAAAGAGAGUUAAACAGUACGUGAAAUUGUCAAAAGGGAAGCGUUUGACACCAGUGUUGUUUUUCUGAAAAUCAAUUAAAGAACUGUUUAUGCUAAGCUGUUUAGACUUUAUCAGCUAACUGUUUAGUUUUGAGCUUUUCUUUAAUGCACUUUUCAGUUAACAAGUCAACAUCAAUUUCUUUUGCUGUAAAAAAGCUUGAGGAAGGUGGCUUGAGAUUCGUCUUAAGUGUUUAUAGCCUCUUGCCUAUGCAGUCGGAGAGAUUGAGGUCUGCAGCGUAGAUCCUUCGGGGCUAAAUGCAUUUGUGCUAAGUUAUAGCAUUUUAUAGACAACUUGUUGACUAUGAUUUGUCUUGUAGCUUACUCGCUUAUGUUAUUUUACCUACGCUUAGGAUGUUGAGUCAUCACACAUCUU
This 773-nucleotide ribosomal RNA is filed under the name uncultured Neocallimastigales. RNAcentral's name for it is "partial large subunit ribosomal RNA". It matches the Rfam family "Eukaryotic large subunit ribosomal RNA", at positions 26 to 617 of the family's 3401-position model. Lineage: Eukaryota; Fungi; Neocallimastigomycota; Neocallimastigomycetes; Neocallimastigales. The record is from RNAcentral.